CACGUAGGGUGCGAGCGUUGUCCGGAAUUAUUGGGCGUAAAGAGCUCGUAGGCGGUCUGUCGCGUCGGUCGUGAAAACUUGGGGCUUAACCCUGAGCUUGCGGUCGAUACGGGCAUGACUGGAGUUCGGCAGGGGAGACUGGAAUUCCUGGUGUAGCGGUGAAAUGCGCAGAUAUCAGGAGGAACACCGGUGGCGAAGGCGGGUCUCUGGGCCGAUACUGACGCUGAGGAGCGAAAGCGUGGGGAGCAAACAGG
This 254-nucleotide ribosomal RNA is filed under the name uncultured bacterium. Its description in RNAcentral is "partial 16S ribosomal RNA". It matches the Rfam family "Bacterial small subunit ribosomal RNA", at positions 524 to 776 of the family's 1533-position model. The record is from RNAcentral.